This 381-nucleotide unclassified non-coding RNA is filed under the name uncultured Armatimonadota bacterium. Its description in RNAcentral is "uncultured Armatimonadetes bacterium contains 16S-23S intergenic spacer region". The record is from RNAcentral. Lineage: Bacteria; Bacillati; Armatimonadota.
UCCGGCUUACACCGGCGGUCUCCUGUGAGUGCCCGGCUUUAACCGCUGGUAACACAGGACGAGGGUUGCGCUCGUUGGCGGACUUAACCGUACACCUCACGGCACGAGCUGACGACAGCCAUGCAACAAGUGUCUUCACGUCCCCUUGUGGGGGAGGGCCCUAUUUCUAGAGCUUACGAUCGAUGUCAAGUCUGGGUAAGGUUCUUCGGUUAGUAUCGAAUUAAUCCACAUGCUCCACCGCUUGUGCGGGUCCCCGUCAAUUCAUUUGAGUUUCAACCUUGCGGCCGUAGUCCCCAGGCGGGAUACUUAAUGCGUUAGCUGCGGCACAAGAGGGGUCGAUACCUCUUACGCCUAGUAUCCAUCGUUUAGGGCGUGGACUAC